UAUUGCCUACGGGGCGCAGCAGUGAGGAAUAUUGGUCAAUGGGCGGGAGCCUGAACCAGCCAAGUCGCGUGAGGGAAGACGGUCCUAUGGAUUGUAAACCUCUUUAGGCGGGGAGCAAUGCCGGGCACGCGUGCCCGGAGGGAGAGUACCCGCAGAAUAAGCAUCGGCUAACUCCGUGCCAGCAGCCGCGGUAAUACGGAGGAUGCGAGCGUUAUCCGGAUUUAUUGGGUUUAAAGGGUGCGUAGGCGGACAGUCAAGUCAGCGGUAAAAAUGCGGUGCUCAACGCCGUACAGCCGUUGAAACUG
RNAcentral lists this ribosomal RNA (305 nucleotides) under uncultured bacterium. RNAcentral's name for it is "bacterial SSU rRNA". It matches the Rfam family "Bacterial small subunit ribosomal RNA", at positions 333 to 635 of the family's 1533-position model. The record is from RNAcentral.